GAUGGGUGUGGUGGCGGGUGCCUGUAAUUCCAGCUACUCGGGAGGCGGAGGCGUGAGACUCGCUUGAACCCGGGAGGCGGAGGUUGCAGUGAGCCGAGACGGCGCCACUGUACUCCAGCCUGGGUGACAGAGCGAGACUACGUCUCCAUUUUUUUAAAAAGGGGGUGAAUUUAAUUGUAUGUGAAUUAUAUCUCAACUUUUUUUUUUUUUUUGAGAUGGAGUCUCGCCCUGUCCCCCCGGCUGGAGUGCAGUGGUGCCAUCUCGGCUCACCGGUGGGCAACCCCUGCCUCCCGGGUUCAAGCGAGUCUCACGCCUCCG
Molecule: non-coding RNA, 318 nt
Filed under: Macaca mulatta (Rhesus monkey)
Lineage: Eukaryota; Metazoa; Chordata; Mammalia; Primates; Cercopithecidae
Source: Rfam by way of RNAcentral